This 932-nucleotide ribosomal RNA is filed under the name uncultured bacterium. Its description in RNAcentral is "bacterial SSU rRNA". It matches the Rfam family "Bacterial small subunit ribosomal RNA", at positions 8 to 916 of the family's 1533-position model. The record is from RNAcentral.
AGAGUUUGAUCCUGGCUCAGAAUCAACGCUGGCGGCGUGCCUCAGACAUGCAAGUCGAACGCGAAAGUUCCCUUCGGGGAGCAAGUAGAGUGGCGCACGGGUGAGUAACACGUAGGUAAUCUACCUUUGGAUGGGGAAUAACAACCGGAAACGGUUGCUAAUACCGCAUAAUGCAGCGGCACCUAAUGGUGACAGUUGUUAAAGCGGGGGAUCGCAAGACCUCGCGUCUAAAGAGGAGCCUGCGGCGGAUUAGCUAGUUGGUAAGGUAACGGCUUACCAAGGCGAUGAUCCGUAGCCGGCCUGAGAGGGCGGUCGGCCACACUGACACUGACAUACGGGUCAGACUCCUACGGGAGGCAGCAGUCGGGAAUUUUGGGCAAUGGGCGAAAGCCUGACCCAGCAACGCCGCGUGAAGGAUGAAAUCCCUCGGGAUGUAAACUUCGCAAGAACGGGAAGAAUAAGUUGGUGUGAACAUCACCAGCGAUGACGGUACCGUUUGUAAGCUCCGGCUAACUCCGUGCCAGCAGCCGCGGUAAUACGGGGGGAGCAAGCGUUGUUCGGAUUUACUGGGCGUAAAGGGCGCGUAGGCGGCCACCGCAAGUCGACUGUGAAAUCUCCGGGCUUAACCCGGAAAGGUCAGCCGAUACUGCGGGGCUAGAGUGCAGAAGGGGCAACUGGAAUUCUCGGUGUGGCGGUGAAAUGCGUAGAUAUCGAGAGGAACACCUGCGGCGAAGGCGGGUUGCUGGGCUGACACUGACGCUGAGGCGCGAAAGCUAGGGGAGCGAACGGGAUUAGAUACCCCGGUAGUCCUAGCCUUAAACGAUGGAUGCUUGGUGUCUGGGGUUACAUAGUCCCCGGGUGCCGUCGCUAACGCUUUAAGCAUCCCGCCUGGGGAGUACGGUCGCAAGACUGAAACUCAAAUGAAUUGACGG